AGAAAGUGUGAGAAAAAGCCUGAGGCAGGCUGAAGCAGGGAAGAAGAAGAAGAAGACGGGUAGAUGAAAUUACACCUGCGGGUCUGUUAGCUUUAGCAGCCGGAGUAUAGCGGGUUUGUCCCACAACACACCCCAAGGGUCCGUAAGAAAUAAAGAGUGAGUAAACCUCACAUAUCAAAGUUUCUUUUCCCUCGCACUGCCGUUAUUGCUCCUGUGCCUCUCCUUGACAGCCCCGUGAUUCAUUUCCUCCGGCCUGAAAGACGGGAAAUGAAUAGAAAGCUUGGAUAUUGUCAGUCGCUAAAUGGGAAAGCAGUUGCUCGGGAGGCACAAUGCAGAUGGAGGAGAUGAAGCCACGUCCUUCGUCCCCUCCCUGAUGCCUCGGCCUGGUUCCACUCCUGGAGCAGCUGGACACUCUCAGGUGUCGUUUGCUAGCAGAGGAGCCGAACGGCGCUGGAAACAGGCGGUGCUUCUUCGCCUACAGCAAGCUCA
Gasterosteus aculeatus aculeatus (three-spined stickleback) is the source of this 489-nucleotide long non-coding RNA. NCBI's taxonomy places the organism in Eukaryota, Metazoa, Chordata, Actinopteri, Perciformes, Gasterosteidae. The record is from Ensembl.